This 489-nucleotide ribosomal RNA is filed under the name uncultured bacterium. RNAcentral's name for it is "partial 16S ribosomal RNA". It matches the Rfam family "Bacterial small subunit ribosomal RNA", at positions 29 to 507 of the family's 1533-position model. The record is from RNAcentral.
AUGAACGCUAGCGAUAGGCUUAACACAUGCAAGUCGAGGAGCAGCAUGGUCUUAGCUUGCUAAGACUGAUGGCGACCGGCGCACGGGUGCGUAACGCGUAUGCAACUUGCCUCACAGAGGGGGAUAACCCGUCGAAAGACGGACUAAUACCGCGUACACUUGGGAUAGGGCAUCCUGACCCAAGGAAAUGAAAUUCGCUGUGAGAUAGGCAUGCGUCCCAUUAGCUAGUUGGUGAGGUAACGGCUCACCAAGGCGACGAUGGGUAGGGGAACUGAGAGGUUGAACCCCCACACUGGUACUGAGACACGGACCAGACUCCUACGGGAGGCAGCAGUGAGGAAUAUUGGUCAAUGGGCGAGAGCCUGAACCAGCCAAGUCGCGUGAAGGAUGACUGUCUUAUGGAUUGUAAACUUCUUUUAUACGGGAAUAACAAGAGUCACGUGUGGCUCCCUGCAUGUACCGUAUGAAUAAGCAUCGGCUAACUCCGUG